GAAAGCUCCUGGAAGAAAUUGUAGGAUGCCUAGAAGCACUUUUGAGAGUAAUCCAAGAGAUUAUUUUCGAAAUCUACGAUCUUAUCCUGGUGAUCAACUUGUGUGAUUUGUUUUGAUUGUUAUUGAACUAGUAACUUUUUCGUUUUUAAAAUUUUUAAUCUAUGUUAUUUAAUUUUUGUAAUUUUCAUGUUUACUACUAUUAUGUAUUGUAUGUAUGGUUUUG
RNAcentral lists this unclassified non-coding RNA (223 nucleotides) under Hevea brasiliensis (rubber tree). The record is from RNAcentral. Lineage: Eukaryota; Viridiplantae; Streptophyta; Magnoliopsida; Malpighiales; Euphorbiaceae.